This 465-nucleotide ribosomal RNA is filed under the name uncultured Klebsiella sp. RNAcentral describes it as "bacterial SSU rRNA". It matches the Rfam family "Bacterial small subunit ribosomal RNA", at positions 338 to 795 of the family's 1533-position model. The record is from RNAcentral. Lineage: Bacteria; Pseudomonadati; Pseudomonadota; Gammaproteobacteria; Enterobacterales; Enterobacteriaceae.
CCUACGGGCGGCUGCAGUGGGGAAUAUUGCACAAUGGGCGCAAGCCUGAUGCAGCCAUGCCGCGUGUGUGAAGAAGGCCUUCGGGUUGUAAAGCACUUUCAGCGGGGAGGAAGGCGGUGAGGUUAAUAACCUCAUCGAUUGACGUUACCCGCAGAAGAAGCACCGGCUAACUCCGUGCCAGCAGCCGCGGUAAUACGGAGGGUGCAAGCGUUAAUCGGAAUUACUGGGCGUAAAGCGCACGCAGGCGGUCUGUCAAGUCGGAUGUGAAAUCCCCGGGCUCAACCUGGGAACUGCAUUCGAAAGUGGCAGGCUAGAGUCUUGUAGAGGGGGGUAGAAUUCCAGGUGUAGCGGUGAAAUGCGUAGAGAUCUGGAGGAAUACCGGUGGCGAAGGCGGCCCCCUGGACAAAGACUGACGCUCAGGUGCGAAAGCGUGGGGAGCAAACAGGAUUAGAUACCCGAGUAGUC